CCCCAGGACACAAGAGGUUCCACUUGGGGUUAAAAAAUAAACUAAUUAAAGGCCUUUCAGUUUUUCCAAAAUCGAGAAUUAAAAAAAAAAAAAUUCCUUCCUCCUCUUUCUUACUCUCUUCCUCUUCCUCCUCUCCCUCCUUCCCUCUCCUCCCUUCCCUUAUCCUCCCCUCCCCCUCCUUUCUCCCCCUUCUUAUACUCUUCCUCUUCGCUCCUCUCUUUAGUCCUUCCCUCCCUCCUCCCUCCUUUCUCUCUCCCUCCUCCUUCUCCUCCUGUCUCCCUUCCUUCCUCCCUCCUUCCUUUUCUGAGCUGAAGAGGAAAUAUUCUAAACCAAAAAUCUUAGAUGCUCUGCCCAAAGCCACUUCUUUGUGGGGACUGCCACCCUCAUGGUCCACAGGAGGGACCAUGUCAGUAGACUGCACCAACCUACUCCCUGGCCUGAAACGAGUGAAGUGGACAGAAGGCCACGUGUCUCCAGUUGAACUUCUUGAAAGGUGGCACCCAACAGAAGACAGGGACCAGGCUGGCUCUGUAUUGCGCUUUGCUCUCCUAAGCCAUAAGGACUUGAUUGCUGUAAUCAAUGGGGAAAGGUCUGGUCUAAGGCGAUACCGUACUCUGCCUUGCAUUUCCUCGCCAUGAGUUAGCAAUUUGCAGUGCUACCUGGGUCUCCUUUAUGACCAGUAACUUGUUUUCUAUGGAAAGAUCUGUUCAGGAUGCCCUGGCCCUGUGACUGCUGAUGGACAGCUGUCAGCAGCUGUCAUCAAACACAACACUUAGACCAGUGGUUCUCAGUGUGUGAGUGGAGACCCCUUGGGAGACAAACGACCCUUUCACAGGGGUUGCAUAUCAGAUAUCCUGCAUAUCAGACAUUUACAGUGCAAUUCACAACAGUAGCAAAGUAACAAUGAAAAUAAUGUUAAUGGAUGAGGGUCACCACAACGUGAGGAACUGUAUUAAGGGUCACAGCAUCAGGAAGGGUGAGAACCAGACUUAGAGGGACCCUGUCCCAUUCUAAUCCCCUGCACCAAAGGCAGAGGUUGAGAGUUUCCAGUUAGAUUUCAGCCUUCCGGAGCCACCGGGCAUCGGCAAGUGUCCUUCCUAACUGUAGGGACAGAAUGGACACAUCACACAGCUGCAAAAGGGACAUGGCCUCCAAGGCUGGGUUCUGAGAAAUGACCCGAACAGGCAGGAUGUGGACACCCUUCUUAUUUCUGUCACCUCCAUGGGUGUCUGAUGAAGUGACAGCAGCCUCAGUGGCUCUGUGGAGGGCACUCAGCCCUGUACAGCCUUACCUCCUUGUGUGAGCUGCUGCGCCCCAUGGCAGGCUUUACAGAGCAGACACCCAGAGAGGAAGCUAUAGCCAUGCUAACAUCUCCCCGCCUCCUGCUUCCCACCCCAGCAGAACAUAUGUGGUGGGAGAGGGGUGGGGUGGGGUCUCCCUUCCCUGGAGCCCUGGGAGGAAGCAGAGCAAGAGCCCACGAGGAGGAUGUAUGUUCUGGAAAGUUCUUUGGAUGUGGUGUUUGAACUUGGUCUUGAUCAGCCUGAGCAUGGUGUGUUUGCAUAGAGGUUCUUAGCAUGGGUUUUCCUUACUUCUGGAUUCCUGGCUCACAGCAUGGCGGCUCUCCUGCUGAGCCCCAGUCCAUAGACUAGCAGCAAGGGACCAGUCUGAGAGACCAGAACAGUGUGGGGUUCCCAGCGGGGAACUCCCAACCCCACCUGCUGGCUUAGGGGAGUCCCCGAAGCUUUCCCUAUAAAACUUCUAAAAUGGCACAGAUCCCAUUACAGGUAAAAUAAAUGAACCCCCACUCCCUCAACUUGUAGAAAGGCAGAGCGGUGCUAUAGGUACAAUUUUUAAUAAAAAUAUUUUGUUCCUUAAGUGCUUGUAAAUUUUUAAAUCUUUCAUUUCUAUUU
RNAcentral lists this long non-coding RNA (1910 nucleotides) under Mus musculus (house mouse). RNAcentral's name for it is "long non-coding RNA chr5:142213711-142215621". Lineage: Eukaryota; Metazoa; Chordata; Mammalia; Rodentia; Muridae. The record is from RNAcentral.